GAUGAACGCUGGCGGCGUGCCUAAUACAUGCAAGUCGAGCGAACGGACGAGAAGCUUUCUUCUCUGAUGUUAGCGGCGGACGGGUGAGUAACACGUGGAUACCCUACCUAUAAGACUGGGAUCACUUCGUGAAACCGGAGCUAAUACCGUAUAAUAUUUUGAACCGCAUGGUUCAAAAGUGAAAGACGGUCUUGCUGUCACUUAUAGAUGGAUCCGCGCUGCAUUAGCUAGUUGGUAAGGUAACGGCUUACCAAGGCAACGAUGCAUAGCCGACCUGAGAGGGUGAUCGGCCAAACUGGAACUGGGAAAAGGUCCAGACUCCUACGGGAGGCAGCAGUAGGGAAUCUUCCGAAAUGGGCGAAAGCCUGACGGAGCAAAGCCGCGUGAGUGACGAAGGUCUUCGGAUCGUAAAACUCUGUUAUUAGGGAAGAACAUAUGUGUAAGUAACUGUGCACAUCUUGACGGUACCUAAUCAGAAAGCCACGGCUAACUACGUG
Molecule: ribosomal RNA, 497 nt
Filed under: uncultured bacterium
Lineage: Bacteria
Description: partial 16S ribosomal RNA
Rfam family: Bacterial small subunit ribosomal RNA
Source: RNAcentral